UCCUGCACUCCUCCGCUCUGCUCUGUAUUUUCUUCUCCCGACUCCCUCCUCACUUUACCUCUUGGUACUCUGUUGUCCUUCCCUCCCCUCUUUUCUUAUUUGAUCUGUGACCUCGACACUGGAUGACCAUGGGUAUUAACUAAGCAGUGGAGUGGCUGUCAUAUCAGUUCCCUGAGUCUGUGUGGAUACGGCAGUGACAGCGCUGUUUGCAGUGGUGGAGGACAAGACUGGGAUAAGAGUUGGUGCCAGGGAUUACAUGUGAGGUGGAGUGGAGGUGACAUAGUUUGAGCAUUUCUUCACAGCUUUACUUAACCGCAUGGAAACUGAAAACAAAACAGCAUGAUUAAGGCACAGAUGAAAUACUGGUCCAUUUUUAAACAACAUGGCCAAAAGGGGAAGGGGGAAAGGUUGAACUUUGGGAAGAGCACAAAAUGGGCAAAUGAAAGAAUUCAGAUUGUUGUGGAAAACAUUCAUAAAUUAUUCCGGAUUGAGGGUGAAGUCACAGAAGAGGAGGGUGGCGGGGGGUCUGCUGCUAGACUCAGUCAAUAUAAAUCAAAACAUAGCUAUAUUUUUUCAACCUGAGAAGAAGAUAGCGUAAGAAAAUGGAAAGAGUUGAAAAUGAUGAAAGCCUUGGGAGGAUGAGGAGAGACGAUGGAGGGUUACAGAGAGGGUGGGGGUGGGGAGGAGUAAAUUGAAUUGGACAGACAGAGCAAGGUUUGGAGAUAAGACAAAAGUUGUUUCUGAGUCAUCGGCUUGUCUGGGUGUGGGGGAGUGUGUGUUUGGGUUAAGCCUCUGUGUGAAUAUGUGUGUAUGCUAAGCUCCUCUUUGUUUGCAUCAAGUGUGUGUUUGUUGGUAUGUCUAAUGUUUAAAUUCAUCUUACUGUAGUUUAGACUAUAGUAUUUACUGUAGUCAAAAUAGGCAUAUAUUAUCUUUCUUUUCUUUUGCUAAUAUUCUCUUUCAUCCUCUCCUCUUUUUUUUUACACUUUUAUUUGAGUAUCUAUCCAGUAUUUUUUUUUUCAAUUCAAUUUUUACUCGAUUCAUACCUCAAAGUUUCUCUGUACAUUUUGAUCUUUCUCCCUUGAAGAGGUGUCUGAAAGCACUUGCAGUCUAGAGAAGCUCUUUCUGAAAAGUUCUCAAAGUGUUUUCAGUUCAAUCCUCCGCCUUUAAUCCUUUAAAAAAAAAAAAAAAAAAAAACUUCAUGAGAGCACUGUCGUUCUUCCUAGGAAUGGCACACUGCAGUGAUUUUCAAUGUCAGAUACGACGUCUACUGAAACCUUUCUGUGUGAGUCACAGAUAAAUCUAUAAGUAUCACUGUGCACACUGCAAAUUUUUCAAAGGAAAGUGACAAAGACAUUAGCUUGUAAAAUCUAGUAUAAAUCAAUUUUCUCUGUUUGAUUUUGUUGCAUGUUGUGCAUAGGGGGAUCCUUGUGCAAUUGUAUUCAUUAAAACUAUGAUGGUAUUUAAAUGCGUGUCAGUUUGGGCGGCUCAGGACAGAGUAUUGGAUCUUUUUGCUCACCCUGUCCUGGUCGUGUGUGCGGUAUUCUUUAACAUAAGAGAUCAUCUAUUUGGCAUAAAAAGGCAGAAAAUACAGAAAAAAAUUCUGAAAAGAAAGCAGUUACAGAAAAAAAUGGAUGUCUGUCUUUUUUGAAUCACAAUUAUAAAAAAAACUGUUUAUGAAGGCAAGGGUUAAACUGUGUUUACCUUUCAAAGUUUCUCUUUGUGAUUCCAUUCAUAAAUUAAACUUCUCAAACCAUUCACCCACUUAUCAGCUGAUAAAGGUUCAUACUGAAUCAGCUCUAAGAUCUCUUUUAACGGCCUUUAAACCUGCGAUCCCCUAUCAGACAAAGUGAAAUUCACCACCUGUGGAUAGAGCUAUGUGCUGACAUUUAAAACUGUAGAUUAGCUCAGCGAUGUUUUUAAGUCCAUGAUUUUUUUUGAAUAAUUUCCUAAGUAUAAGUUAACAGUUAUUUGGCCUAAGCAUGGCAGAAAUUUCUGAAGUUGUAGCAAUAUUGAGUCUAAACUACCAAUCCGGGAAAACUUGAUAGACCGAGUUUGUGAGUUAGCGAGUGUGAAAAAUCAAACAUCUGAAGACUUACAUACACCAGGGAGAGUUAUCACUCACUGCCUGCAUGGGAUAAAUUUUCUCAGCUGGUUCUUAAUAUCCUGUGCUUUGAAGAGGUGUAAAAAUGAAGUUUUUUAUUGGAGUAAAUUUUGGGAAAUGUUUGUAUCUGUAGAGGAGACAGAGGAUUGAGUAUAAGGAACUGACAGAGUCUGGUCUGUCUGCUUGGGGGGCAUUUGUACAUGGGGUGUGUGAUUCAAUCUGAGCCGAACCAGAGUCCCAUUAUUCUACUUUCAAUCAAGAGCCAUUAUUGUGUUAUCAAUCAAUUUCUAUAUGGAUGGAUUUUGAUAUUAGAAACUCUAUGAACCAGAGGAGUCUGCUCACCUCUGUUUCAGUUCAUGUCAACAUGAGUGUAUUAACAGCAGUAAAUGUGUGAUCUCACCCAGAACAGAAAUGUCCUCAGUACUAAAGGGCUGUGGAAGCUGUCCCUUCAUCACCUCUUCCUUUCCUCUUUUCUUUCCCUCCUUCCUCCUCCUCCUCCUCCUGCCGCUCCUCCUUCUCCUGCUCUACAUCAUCCAUCCCCCUCUUCAGUUUGAUGCUCUUGGAUGCUUCAUGCACUCCAGCGCUCAGCCUUGUGGACAUGCAUAUAUGUUUGGGAUUAUAUAAUCAAGCUGUUACGCAACGCUAAAAGAGACUGAGGGAGGCAAACUCACUCACUCAUACACACACACACACACACACACACACAACAGUGAUACACACUUACAGGGAGAGUGUGUGUGUGUGUGGGGGGGACUCUUGUGUUUCAUGUUUGGAUUAUACCAAAUCCCACUCAGCUCUACACACACACACACAAAUACGCAACCGCUCGCCCUUUUAAAAUCCACGGGUAAAUCUCUGGUUAUGGAUGUUGGCUCUGUCUGUGAGUGUUAUUGUGCAGGUCUGUGUGUUCGUGUCCUUGUUUGCACCCACAAAAUAAAACAGUCUAACGGCAGCUCCACACAUGCACAGAGAUGGAGCUGUGCGGUUAUAUUUUUAACAGACACACAGUCUGCUCGGCAGUGUAUAAUGCUGCAGCUGACAAAGGCUUUCAUUCAUGUCUCCCCCCUGGUUCUGACAAAUGUGUAACAGACGAUCAUGUCUGUAUUUUUACCAGGUGAUUGUGUAUGAUCACAGGACUGUAUCUUGGGUUUUUAAACCUAAAAUUACCCCUAAUUUGUAGUGAAAUUAUCCCUCAUGAGCGAGUGAACACCCACUCUUGCAUUAGGACUGAUAAAAACCUCAAGAGGAACCCUUGAGUCCUCUUCAAGCUCCUUUGUAAUCAACAGCUACACAACAAGAUGAGUCUCCAUGCUUACACAUCAUUUAGUGUCUUAUGAGAAAUGGAAAAGAAAAGGUCAAACAUGCGAUCAGGCAGGAACCUAUCAGUGUUGUAUUGAUCUAUCAAAUAAAUCAGUGUUAUAAGUAGUUACUUAACGUGGAUAGGGAAUUUAUGUGAAGUUGUCUUCACAUCAAGCAGGGUUUAGAAAGGAGAACUUAAGGACCUACUCCGAUGAAAAUCAUGUUUUUCUUGUUUACAUGUUCAUAGGGUAUUUUCCUUAUACUAGAGGACAUAUCAUGAGGAAAAAGAAGAGCCAAAUUGCAUUUCUGAGUAUUUCUGCUUUUAAAUCUCUGUGAAUCUCUGGCAGACCCAAACAGCAGGAUCACACACAGUGAGAUUUCCUACGUAACCAAUCCAAGCUCCGCCCCCGAAGCCCCACUAUGCAGGCCAGACUUGGAGAAGUAGAGAGGACAAUCACGGAACAAGCAUCUCUGUAGAGGAUUAAAAUGCUUGUAAGAGAGCUAAUUAUGAUAUUAACUUUCAUACAUUUGUGUCUGAACGCUGAAUACCUCCUCUGUAACCUGUUUCUUCUACUACACCGGCAAUGUCAGGCUGCAAGCUAGCGUGAAGAGGAGUGUGCAGAGCAGCGCUGUCUCCGCCCACGACUCAGAGGCGAAUUGCUAAUGAGCUACUGGAGCUCUGCAGAAGAAAAGCUCUUGAAAACGACACAGGUAACAUGAUUUUGGUUAAAAACUUAAUAACCACAGUUUGAAGACCACUGAGAACACUUUAAGUAGUAAAAAAAAAACAAUCGUGUUUGGACUUCAACAACCUUGACCCUGUAUUUUGACCGUUUUUUUCAUAUCCAUCGUAUUUAUUUGACAUGUCUCAAACCAUGAUCAUAUGGUAUGAAGCACUACUAUAAAAAUGCUCUAAAUGUCUCCAUGGAGACUCAUACCUGCUCCCAGCCUCCCCCAGUAACCAUGGAUUCUUUGUUAUCUCCCAUACAGAGUGAGCCUCUUCCCAGCUCCCCAUACACUCUAGUGUGCUGUUGCAUGCUGUCAUUUGAACUUUAAGCGCACACUUCAGGAAUUUGAGGUGUAACUUUUCCAAUAGAUCUGUAUUUUAAAAGGUUUUAAAGUAGGUUUCUGUGUACUGCUGCAUAGUUCAGGAUCAUUGCUUAGCUGCACUUACUUGUCAGGCUGACUGAUCCCAUAUAAAGCUGAAGAUAUAUCCUCUGCUGCACGCAGAGACAGAUGAGGUGUUAUGUCACAAUGACAGUUUGGGGUUGCUUUUACCUGCUGGGGUCCCCAGGUGUGCUGUCUUUAGCUAUUGCCUCUCUCUUUCUAUUUAUCUCUGUCUACAUCUCUAUAACCUCAGCUCUUUUACUGUCUUUGCUAACAAAUCACCCAAAGAGAAAUGAUAUUAUUAUGGCAAGUGGAAUGAAGGCUCAGAGCAGAAUCCAGGUGUGGGUCAGAUCACUUGUUCACCCUGCAUGAGAGCACUCAGAGGAUUCUCCAGAUUGCAGCUGCAGAGUUUUUAUCUAAAUCAGGUUUUUUUCUUGAAGGAUGAGAUAAUAGCCUGAGCUAAUACAGUUCUCUGUACUGUACUAUCCAGGAAUGAGAAUAUAACCUUUAAUAUGUACAGUGCUAAAAAGUCGCUCUGAAGGGUUUUCUUUAAAAGCAGAGACCUUUAAAAAUGCAUGAAAUGCUCCAUGUACAGCCUGAAAGGCAGAAGCAUGGAGAGUGUUUCAGCCAGCGUGUGUGAAGGUGGUUUAUUUAUACAGGUUUUGAGGUCAAAAUAAUGAUGAAAGGUUAUUUUAGUAGCACAUCAUGAAUUGUUCAACUAUUGAACAAUCUCUUCUACAUCAAACCAUAAUACUGACCACCUUUUCU
Molecule: non-coding RNA, 5275 nt
Organism: Xyrichtys novacula (pearly razorfish)
Lineage: Eukaryota; Metazoa; Chordata; Actinopteri; Labriformes; Labridae
Source: the annotation of a GenBank genome assembly